GACGAACGCUGGCGGCGUGCCUAACACAUGCAAGUCGAACGGAGAUAUGGAAGUAGUUUACUAUUGAAAUAUCUUAGUGGCGCACGGGUGAGUAACACGUAGGCAACCUACCCUUCAGUGGGGGACAACAGAGGGAAACUUCUGCUAAUACCGCAUACGGCCUUGUACUGGGAUGUACGAGGAGAAAGGAUUUAUUCGCUGAGGGAUGGGCCUGCGGCCUAUCAGGUAGUUGGUGGGGUAAAGGCCUACCAAGCCUGCGACGGGUAGCCGGACUGAGAGGUCGACCGGCCACACUGGAACUGAGACACGGUCCAGACUCCUACGGGAGGCAGCAGUAGGGAAUAUUGCACAAUGGGGGAAACCCUGAUGCAGCGACG
RNAcentral lists this ribosomal RNA (377 nucleotides) under uncultured bacterium. Its description in RNAcentral is "bacterial SSU rRNA". It matches the Rfam family "Bacterial small subunit ribosomal RNA", at positions 28 to 396 of the family's 1533-position model. The record is from RNAcentral.